UCUACAAGCCAUACCACCCUGAACACGCCCAGUAUCGUCUGAUCUCGGAAGCUAUACAGGGUCGGGCCUGGUUAGUACUUGGAUGGAAAACUCAAAAGACUCCACAGCUGAUGGAA
Molecule: ribosomal RNA, 116 nt
Organism: Erinaceus europaeus (western European hedgehog)
Lineage: Eukaryota; Metazoa; Chordata; Mammalia; Eulipotyphla; Erinaceidae
Source: Ensembl